Esox lucius (northern pike) is the source of this 1409-nucleotide long non-coding RNA. Lineage: Eukaryota; Metazoa; Chordata; Actinopteri; Esociformes; Esocidae. The record is from Ensembl.
GGUUGGUAAAUGUUUUAAUUGAAGAGACAACAUCCAUAAAACAGGUUUUGCUCUGCCCUAAACACAGGCUGCUUUUAUCAACAUGCAUACACAACAAAAGUAUGGAACAAUCAUGACGUUCGACAAAACGAAAAACAUAACACCUGGCAUACCCAAUAAAUACAAGGAACGACAUCCAUAAACCAGGUGUUGCUCUGUCUGUAAGACCAAAUCUUCAGCCAAGUACAAAUUAACACUGAAAGGAGGGAUAGGAACAGUCAUACUAGCUCAAUGACAAUAUGAACACUAUAAACAAAUCCACUGUUAAAAAGUUAAGAAACACAUAUAAUCCGUAUGGUACGUAUCCCAACCUGCUGUUAGAAAUUUCAGGGACAUAUUGUUUGUAUACUACACACUAUGUAUAGGUCCAAAUAAUAUACUACAUACAUACAUAUAUAUAUAUAUAUAUACAGUAACACUUUAUUUGAAGGGGUGUGCAUAAGAGUGACAUGACAUUGUCAUGAUGCUGUCAUAGCCAUGACAUGUUAGAAUCAUUAUGAACGUUCAUGAAUGUUGUCAUUAGGUUGAUUGUGUCAUUUUUUAUGCAAGGUUGACAUUGUUUGGGAGGUCUUUAUGACAACUUCAAAUUAACUGAGUCAACACAACCCGUCAAUGUCUUUGUUAUGACAACUUGACAUUAACUAAGACAAAAUAUCCUGUCAAUGUCUUUGUUAUGACAACUUGACAUUAACCACAACAUUAGAUUAGAUUCAACUUUAUUGUAAUUGUACAGUACAAUGAAAUUGAAGGAGUAGGGUAGCAUGUGCAACUGAAAUGCAGGGACAGAGCAAUGAGGUUCCCAAGGUAGACGUACCUGUAACAACUGAAAACUUCAGACUUGGCAAGGCAGUGGCAGAGUCCAGUAGUACAAACGGUGGAUAUGGUUAGGGAUAGGUCACCUAGUUCAGCAGGGUUACAGCAGAUGGAAAGAAAGUGUUCCUGAAACUGUUGGUGCUAGGAUGAAGAGAUGUGUACCAUCUGCCUGAUGGAAGGAUGGCAGUUUGUGGCAUGGAUGUGGAGUGUCCCUGAUGAUGCUGCGUGCCCUAUGCAGACACCGCUUGUGCUGGAGGUCUACGAUGGCCGGGAGCUGGGUACCAGUGAUGUGCUGGGCGAUUUUCAUCACCCGUUGCAGGGCCUUCCAGUCGGCUACAGAGCAAAUGCCAAACCAUGCUGUGGUGCAGUUAGUCAGAAACAUAACCUGUCAUAAACAUGUCAUAGAAGGCCUGAUUAUCAAACUUGAACAAACUAUUUAGCUUUAUGUGAUAGCAUUAAAUACAACUGUCAUAUGUGGUUGGUUUUGACAUUGGUUGUCUUGAGACCAUUAUAAUUGUGUCAUGAAUAUUUUUCUUGACCUCAAGUGGUACAAUUUG